AACAGUCCGAAAGGACUGCUAAUACCGAAUGUUGUGAGUUUCCGCAUGGGAAGCUCAUUAAAGAUGGCCUCUACUUGUAAGCUAUCACUUAGAGAUGGGCCUGCGUCUGAUUAGCUAGUUGGCGGGGUAACGCCCACCAAGGCGACGAUCAGUAGCCGGUCUGAGAGGAUGAACGGCCACAUUGGGACUGAGACACGGCCCAGACUCCUACGGGAGGCAGCAGUGGGGAAUCUUCCGCAAUGGGCGAAAGCCUGACGGAGCAACGCCGCGUGAAGUGAAGAAGGUCUUCGGAUCGUAAAGCUCUGUCGAAGGGGACGAACGUGGGUUCUAUCAACAACGGAACCUAAUGACGGUACCUUUCAAGAAAGCCACGGCUAACUACGUGCCAGCCGCUGC
Molecule: ribosomal RNA, 396 nt
Filed under: uncultured bacterium
Lineage: Bacteria
Description: bacterial SSU rRNA
Rfam family: Bacterial small subunit ribosomal RNA
Source: RNAcentral